Zootoca vivipara (common lizard) is the source of this 2219-nucleotide RNA transcript. It is a transcript of the gene named ubiquitin conjugating enzyme E2 G1, with no coding region annotated. Lineage: Eukaryota; Metazoa; Chordata; Lepidosauria; Squamata; Lacertidae. The record is from RefSeq and is a predicted model, not a curated record.
CGGCGCCCGAGUGCAGUGAAAUUCCGUGAAGAGGGGAGGGGGGCCUGGGAAAGAGAGAGAGAGAGAGAAAGGAAAGAUUUUUCCUUUUUUUUAAAAAAAAGGAAGAGGGAAAGAAGAGAAAAGCGGCAGAAGCUGAGGGGAAGGUUUCAGUGAGGGAGAGAGAGAAAAACGCGGGGCUGGCCGGACCCCUCCUCUUCCGCCACGCGUCGCCCGCCACCGCCUCAGAAUCUCCUCAGGAGCGGCAGCGGCUGCUCCCCUCCCCCUCGCCCCCUUCCUCCCCCCUCGCCCCCUUCUAACCCCCGGACGAGGGACGCGAGGCGGCGCCGCUGAGAGGACGGGAAGGCCCCCGGCGGCGGCGGCGGGGUCGGCUGGAGCGAGGAGGGGCGAGCGCUAGCCGGCUGGCUCUAGCCCGGCAAGAGGAGGAGGAGGAGGAGGAGCACGCCGUCGCCUCCACAGCGGCCGCCCCAGCCUCCCCUCCCCGGACACCGGCGGGGAGAAUGACGGAGCUCCAGUCCGCGCUGUUACUGCGGAGACAGCUGGCAGAGCUCAACAAAAACCCAGUGGAAGGAUUUUCAGCAGGUUUAAUAGAUGACAAUGAUUUAUAUCGAUGGGAAGUUCUUAUUAUUGGUCCACCAGAUACACUGUAUGAAGGCGGCGUCUUCAAAGCUCACCUUACUUUCCCAAAGGACUAUCCACUCAGGCCGCCAAAAAUGAAGUUUAUCACCGAAAUAUGGCAUCCAAAUGUUGAUAAAAAUGGUGAUGUCUGUAUUUCCAUCCUUCAUGAGCCUGGUGAAGACAAAUAUGGCUAUGAGAAACCUGAAGAACGCUGGCUUCCCAUCCAUACUGUGGAAACCAUAAUGAUUAGUGUAAUUUCUAUGCUGGCAGAUCCCAACGGUGACUCUCCUGCUAACGUUGAUGCAGCGAAAGAAUGGAGGGAAGAUAGAAAUGGAGAAUUCAAAAGGAAAGUUGCCCGCUGUGUAAGAAAAAGCCAAGAGACUGCUUUUGAGUGACACUUAAUUCAGCAGCUAGUAGCUUCACUUUUUUUCAGGCACUUGUGGUUACUGCUGAUGGUAAUCCUGCAACUGAUGAUUUCCAAAGAAUCUUGGUGUUGCCAGCUGAAAACUAAACAUGCAACUUUUAAUGUCUCCAAUUGAGGAACAUGGCACUGUUUUUCCUGCACUCUAUCCACCUAAUGCUGGACUUCUGUUUAUACCAAGUUGGCAGACACUGGCUGGAACUGGGCUGCAAUAAAACAUGCCAGUUAUUAAUGCUGACAAAGAGCCUAACAAGUGCCAACAAGGAUUUGCGCAUUUUGAAAACUAAUGGAACUGCUUUAACCUUCAGGAAGAAUUGUAAAGAUGUGUACAUAGCACAACAUGAUCCGGAUAAUAUAUACUGUUCAUGUACAUCCACAAAUACACAUUGUACCAAAUAAUGCUGUCUUGUAGUUAGAAUAAGAAUCGUGUAAAUUCUAAAGAUUUUUAGCAGGUUUUCCAUUUUUCUCUUCUCUCCCCCCCCCCUGGUUUUCCCUAUGAGUCUUUAAAAUUUCUCGUGAAGCAUGUCAGUCUAAAACAAAUUAGGAUUUAAAAAUUCCGUUUUAACCUUUUCUUUUCAGCCAUUGAAGAUUCAUUAAAAUCUCUCACUUUAAUAAAGUUUAAUGCCUUUGUAAUGCUGUCCCUUCCCCCUCACCUUUUUUUUCAGAUUACAUAAAUACAACACAGAUCUAUUACUUGAUUCUAAUGAUGACUUGAGCACUGUCAUCAGGAGGUGCAGUUCCUUCCCUUGCGUUAUGACCCAGCUGUGCUCAUCUCUUGGCUUGGAUGUAGCAAUAAGAUUUUACAGCUGUGGAGCACCCUUGAGCCUGUUAUCUUUCCCAAAAGGGUUGAGAGCAUUUGUUUUGGAAGUGGUCAGCUAAGUAUGUUAGCCCAAUAUAGGAUGAACUGCUUUCUUUUGAUUUCUUGCCUGGUUUGAAGUUGGAUAAAUAAAAGCAUGCAGAGCUGUAGGCUUUCAAGUGAGUUCUGGUUUUGCUAUCAAAUGCUAUUUCCCUUUCCCUCUUCUUCCUCUUUCCCCCCUUUAUAUUUCUUUGCCUUUUGAUCUCCUGCAGGUUUUCCUCACUUAAUGUAUAAAGACAAAUUGCGAUGUAUAUUUUCAUGUAACUUGAUUUUGGAAUUCUGUCACCUUCUGUAGUGAGUUCUUCCAAAAUAUAAAUUUUUCCAAUA